Non-coding RNA from Lepisosteus oculatus (spotted gar), 4557 nucleotides. The record is from RefSeq and is a predicted model, not a curated record. Lineage: Eukaryota; Metazoa; Chordata; Actinopteri; Semionotiformes; Lepisosteidae.
AGAGAGAGGGAAGAGGAUGAGUCCACAGCAAGGAACAGCAAUCUUAGUCAAAGCCCUAAGAUAUCCAUAAAUAUCAACUGAUGAGCUCGAUGGGUCUCCUCUUUUUUGUGUCUUUUCUUGUAUUUUAAACAGAAUAUAAUGAUAUUGCAAUUCACAGCAGUGGAGUAGGGUCAACUCCACAGGUCUCUGUGUAGAAAAACGAACUGAAAGCAGGUUCCCUUUACAUGAUGUGCUCAUAACAUGCAGCAUCAAGCACAUGCAGUAUAUACAUAUACAGAAACACGAGACCAGUCUGAUAUACAGAACACAAAAUGACAGGAUUUGAACAUAUCAUGUUGAAGACUGAAGUAUUAAAUAUACACUUUUAUCAAAUUUUAAGUGUUUAAAGAAAUGCAGUCAGAUAUUUGAAUUUACACAUAUUCAAAACAUUUAAAUUCCUAUAGAGUCCAAGGUGUGUAUUUCACUCAGAUUAAACUUUGAAAUUCUCAGGGGUGUUAAAUGUCGAAAGUCUUUAAGAUACAUUUAUAAGCAAACUAGUAAAAAUUCUGCUUUUCCUUUCACCUCUUCAUUUUAAAACUUUGGUAGCCUUUUGUCUUUCAGGUGCCCCAGAUUGGCUUGUGAGUUCUGUGCUAACAGCUGGUUGUAGUCAGCCCCUCUUGAAGCCUCUUUUAAGAGCUCAGCUUGUUUGCCUUGUACACUCUCGUACAGUGGGAGCCGUGGGAGCUCAGACGGCAAGGGCAUCCAGCUCCUGACCGGAAGGUCCUAGGCUCAGUCCCAGGUAGGGUCAAGCGAUGGAGCUUGCUCUGAUUCCUUCCAGACGGCUCCCAGGUCCACUCGGCCUGCUUUCCAAAUGAGUCCCGGGGGUAAUAGGCCAGCCAGAGUGUGAUGCUGGCCGCAUCUCCUCCACCUCCAGUGUCAGAUGGUUGAGAAAAAUGGUGGCCUUUGCCCCCAGCCAUUCCCCCAUGGGCCUUUACAGACUGAAAAGGGGACAUUACCUACCUACCUGCUGACAUACAGUACAGUGGUUUCUGUUUCCAGGCGAGCUCUUAAAGGGGUCUUUUAGGCAUGCUUUUUGCCAGCAGUUAUUCAUUUCACUGACAAUAGACAAUCAAGAGAAGGAAUUUGACGCUGUUGGAUUGAGAGGGUUUGUACCACAUGACAUGUUCUGCUAUGCUUGUUUUUCCUCCUUCAGCUGAAUCUUGGGAACUUUUUCCACUGUUCCACAUAUAUUGAUUUAUUAGGACUGCAGCUGUAGGGUAACAAUGUGCUUUGGGAAAAUCAAGUGAAACAAUAGAAGCAUCUGUAUAGUUUUCUGCCUGUUCUCCCAUUGUCUAGAGUGCUAAUUAACUUCUGUUUGUUCUGUUUGAAGCUUUCGGACUCAUUAUUUGCAAGGGAAGGAACAAUAAAUUCACAUCAGGGGUUCAUUUUUCUUUUUAACUGGUUAUACAACAGAGAGUAUUCAAUAACUGGAAGGAAGUCAGUCCCUAUCCAAGGCACAGCAGGGACAUUCAAAUUUAUAAUGACAUUUGCACAGCAAAUGUCUAAUGUAUAUCCAGUUAUGUUAUUCUCUCAAAUCAUCCACUCUUUAAAGGGGACUUUAGUAAGAUCACUUUUUAUAAAUUUGACACUCGGGUAUAGUUUUCAAAAUCCAAAUUGGAUUAAACUGACCCAUCCUGACCAAGAGGUAGCAGGUGUCUGGAACAAACAGCCCUCCCCCAUUGUCGCAAGAAAUUUCCUGGAAACUUUCAAGUUGACUGGCAUUCUUCGAUCAAAAUGCUGCUUAGAAAGUCAUCAAAGUUAGGUGGGUCAAAUUAAUCACAUUUGUGGCCUUUCUUAGUCUUUAUAUGUACAUAUGGGUACACAUCUGGGGACACCAUUUUAAACCAGCAGCAUGAUCACAGCCAUCUUCACAUGCUUAAACCCUUCUCUGUCCUCACACAGUAAUGACAGCAUUAACUUCUGCCUGGCUCCUGGCUCAAUAAUGUAUCCAAUCACAGAAACAACGCCUUGAGCAGCUCUGAGAUUGUGAGUGUAUGGCAGGUGAAAACAGCUGAAAAGCACUGAGGCAGAAAGAGUGCAGUGAAGCAAUAUUACUUCUGUCCAUAAUAAAUACAAAUCUUCACAGACAACUGUAAUCUCUUUGCUGUUCUAAUGAUUAUGAAAUGGUUUGACACAGCUUUUAUAACUUCUACCAUCAAUGUUAAAUCUAUAGGUGAAGGUCAGGUUGAUUAAACCAAUUUAAUAAUGUAUUUCUUUCAGGAGAGCUUGAAUUGCACACAAAAAAAAAUUACGAGAUUUAAAUGAGCACGAAGCAUUUUUUUGUUCGAGAUGAGCUCUUUUGCAAGGUGCUGUGGUCGACAUACGUUUUUCUGCUUCAGCUGGAAAAGAAGAACCAGUCCAUAGCAAAAAACAUAAUGACAAUGUUUCCAAGUGAGACGCUGACGUGACGGGGAUAUCUGAGGAGCACCUCCCAAGGAAACACGAGUUCUGUGGAGAGCUCAGGUCGGAAAAGCUCACAGUGACUCACACUGACUUCAAGGAAACACUAAAGGCAUCCUUCAAGAGAUUCCUACUGUACGGGGCAUCCGCUGAGCAGAUGAUGAUGAUGUAGACGUCGUGCUCGUCACUGCUUCUGCGGAACAGACAGCAAUGUGGAGAGCGCCGCUCACCCUCAACGCACUGCAAGGAGGAGGAGUACAGCGGUCAGCAGGGAGCUUGUGAUGAAGAGGCUGAAAUCCGACCUGCCUCAGGAUACAGAGCAGCCAACGCCCUCUCAGACACACACAGUUCUCGUGUUCCCCCUCUUCUCAGACACGCACACCCUCCAGCUGCAGACAGCAAGCACGCAGGAGCAUAUCCAGCAGGGUUACACAACACAGGCCCAGCUGCAGCCUUGCCUCAUGGCUUUGUUACAUCUCUUUAAGGACCAGUGCACAGACGGGGAGGUACACAGCAAGAGCCACAAAGCCAGCUACAGCAGUAAGGAGAGGAGCUCCCGGACCACAGGCAGGAAAAAUGAGCACCUCCGAAGACAGGAAGACGAGGUACCAUGGGGCACCCCUGACUGUUGUACGGUAUCCCAGAAUUCCAAAGUCACAUGUGAACUCUAAAUCAAGCUGUCAACUUUUCAGUGUUCUGUCACAGCCUGAACAACCUGAAUACAGGUAUUGAGUUCCUGGAAUAGCUGCUUAAGUCUGUGAAAUCUGCACUAGCUUCAGUUUUAAUUUCUUUAGACUAGGCUCCUACUUGUUCUUUUUCCUUUUUUUGAUUAUACUGAGCUGAGCUGUAAUUGUCAUUGUCAUUGUGCAGAGGACGCAGUGAAUUCAGUGCUGUUCUAUCUGUUAACUAGCUCUACCUUCAUCUGGAGGAUUAGACAGAUGUGGGGGGUGUAUGACAGAGUUGAAAAGAGAAAAGCUGAAAAAAUUACCCUGUAAUGCAAUGAAAGACUAGAUUUCCUUAAUUGCUCUUGGUAUUACAUUAUUAUCUGAAAGUGUAAGACAUGUAUGUAAAUUAGUGGAGAUGUACCGUACUCCUUUCCACUGAUCUUCAGGCACUUUAGGAUACUUUUAAAUAAUCCCAUUGAAUUUCACUUACUGUAUUUGCACUUGGAAAAACGGUGAAAGAAAAUCUUUUUUUUUUUAAAUGCGACAUCACUGGACAGUAUGUACUUUACACUACGCAUUUGCAAUUUUCAUAUUAUAAAAGUGAAAUAUAGCAACUUUUUCCUUAAACAUGAUCAAUGACUGAAUGUUUCUGUUGGACGGUGCUGAUACUUUGUCAGCACAGUAAGCAGCAGGCAGCCCUACAGUGUGAAAGUGUUCUAGCUGAAUCAGGACUGUCAUUACCUUCCCAGGGGUGCAUCCUCACACGCCUCCACUUAGCAUCCCAAAGCAAAACCUUGCAUUUUUACACAGAGAGCCUUGCAGAGCACAGUUGCCUUAAUAUUUGGAUUUGCAAAUAUUGGCAUUCACGGUCACAAAGUUACGUUGUUGUUGUUUUCAAUUUUGUGCUUUGCCUUUGUUCCACAUCAAAGAAUAGGGUGAACCGCAACACAUCAAAUGGGCUUCAGACAGAGACACACUGAAACAAGAAGAGAAUGAACAAGACACUGUGCAGGCUUGUACUGCAUUAGUGCCACUUUGCAAGACAAGAGAAUACCUGGGAACGACAAGAUUAACACAGGCAGCUCUGGCACAAAAUGUAUGGGGGAAAAAAAAGCAUUGAACAGAUUUUCAACUGCUGCCUGAGUCUGAAGGGCCGUGGAAUAGCUACAGGGAAACCCCUCACACAGAGCCAGAAGGCGGACACAGCCCAGCUCUGCGGGGAGAGCUCUGCUCUCCAUUUGUUUGAGGAAUCCUGACACGAGCACACUUGCCUGCCGUCGUAUUUUUGCUGCUCAUUAGUUUUGUUAAUGGACCUCGGCCCCCCGUCGUCUUUCUCCAGAUAGAAAAAGAUGGCGAUUAGACUGUCUAUUAAUCUACACAGCGUGCUGCACUAAGGCGCAACUCAGGGAGGGAGACCUGGCUGGCUAUGCCAAUAUUUUGUUUCCUUUCAGUC